UACAGCCAUAUCACGUUGAAACACCGGUUCUCGUACUAUCACCGAUGUUAAGCAACGUCGAGCCUGGUCAUUAUCUAAAUGGGUGACCUCUUAGGAAUGCCAGGUGUUGUAA
This is a non-coding RNA of Acanthosepion pharaonis, 112 nucleotides long. The record is from the annotation of a GenBank genome assembly. NCBI's taxonomy places the organism in Eukaryota, Metazoa, Mollusca, Cephalopoda, Sepiida, Sepiidae.